RNAcentral lists this ribosomal RNA (253 nucleotides) under uncultured bacterium. Its description in RNAcentral is "partial 16S ribosomal RNA". It matches the Rfam family "Bacterial small subunit ribosomal RNA", at positions 524 to 776 of the family's 1533-position model. The record is from RNAcentral.
UACGGGGGGGGUAAGCGUUGUUCGGAAUUACUGGGCGUAAAGGGCGCGUAGGCGGCCUGCUAAGUCGAACGUGAAAUCCCCGGGCUCAACCCGGGAACUGCGUCCGAUACUGGCAGGCUUGAAUCCGGGAGAGGGAUGCGGAAUUCCAGGUGUAGCGGUGAAAUGCGUAGAUAUCUGGAGGAACACCGGUGGCGAAGGCGGCAUCCUGGACCGGCAUUGACGCUGAGGCGCGAAAGCCAGGGGAGCAAACGGG